Molecule: ribosomal RNA, 253 nt
Filed under: uncultured bacterium
Lineage: Bacteria
Description: partial 16S ribosomal RNA
Rfam family: Bacterial small subunit ribosomal RNA
Source: RNAcentral
UACGUAGGCAGCAAACGUUGUUCGGAAUUACUGGGCGUAAGGAGUGUGUAGGCGGUCUUGUAAGUUCUGUGUGAAAUCUCCCGGCUUAACUGGGAGGGUGCGCCGAAUACUGCAAGGCUUGAGUACUGGAGAGGAUAGCGGAAUUCCUGGUGUAGCGGUGAAAUGCGUAGAUAUCAGGAGGAACACCGGCGGUGUAGACGGCUGUCUGGACAGUAACUGACGCUGAAACACGAAAGCGUGGGGAGCAAACAGG